UAAUACAGAGGGGGCAAGCGUUGUCCGGAUUGACUGGGCGUAAAGCGCACGCAGGUGGCGCGCAACGUGGGAUGUGAAAGCGGGCGGCUCAACCGCCCGAGGCCAUGCCAAACGAGCGUGCUAGAGCCAUGUAGAGGGUGGUGGAAUUGCCGGUGUAGUGGUGAAAUGCGUAGAGAUCGGCAGGAACACCAAGGGGGAAGCCAGCCACCUGGGCAUGGGCUGACACUCAAGUGCGAAAGCGUGGGGAGCGAACUGGAUUAGAUACCCAGGUAGUCCACGCUCUAAACGAUGGACGCUCGGCAUCCGUGCCCUAUCAAGGGGCGGGGGUGCCUUAGGUAACCCGGUAAGCGUCCCGCCUGGGAACUACGAGCGCAAGCUUA
RNAcentral lists this ribosomal RNA (380 nucleotides) under uncultured bacterium. RNAcentral describes it as "bacterial SSU rRNA". It matches the Rfam family "Bacterial small subunit ribosomal RNA", at positions 521 to 896 of the family's 1533-position model. The record is from RNAcentral.